Non-coding RNA from Nelumbo nucifera (sacred lotus), 2077 nucleotides. Lineage: Eukaryota; Viridiplantae; Streptophyta; Magnoliopsida; Proteales; Nelumbonaceae. The record is from RefSeq and is a predicted model, not a curated record.
AUCGUAUUCUUGCUCAUCGGUCUGCUUCCUCAUUUCGAACCUAUAGGCUACAACAAUCACCCUCUUCUCUGUUUCUCAGGGCCAAAAGAGUCGUUAAUCACUGGAUCACCAGAGCUAAUUUCUUAGGGUCAUUUUAUCACCGGAGGUUCAUCUCUCGUUGCUGGAGCUAUAGUGUUUUCCCCAUUUUUCAGAGCUGUUAAUAACCAAAGCUUCAGAGCUACACAGUGUUUUCCAUUGAUUGGAGUGCGAGGUGACAAAGUUGGUACUAGGUGCUCCUCGAAAUGGUUUAGGGAGAUGGUACAAAGUUUGUCUCUAAGUUUGGAGCACAAGAGAAGGCUCCAAGAGACUCCCUUUGGACACUUUUUGGAUCUGCCACAGGUGAUUGUAGAGACGUGCCUAUUGAGUUAUUUAGUGAAAUCGUGAGACUCGACUAGCGAGUGUUUUAUAGUUGGUGGAAGGACUAUGCAAUUCAGUGAGGUUGAUGUUGCCCUUAUAAUGCGGGUCUUGGCUUGUCGGGUAGUAUAGUUUCCCUAUCGAAAGGCGUUGUUGGUAGUGGAUUGUUACAAAGAUUUUUUAGCUUUGACCAAAAUCACUCUGCCUCUACAGAGAUGGAUCUUGUGUGGCAUAGACUAAAGAAGAUUGUAUGAUUAGAUGGUGAGGAGUACGUUGAGGAGGUGGUAAAGUUGAUUAUUUUGUUCUUGUUUGGUUGUGUUGUUUCUCCAAGGUAUUUCGAGGGUGAGCUCCUUCUGGGUUGGAUAGGUUGGCGAUUUACAACGUAUCGGUGAUUAUGCCUAGGGUAAAUAUGUACAUAAAUUCUUGGUCGGUGGCCUUGAUCAGUUUACUUCCGAUUGUGGUGCUGGAUCGAGUAAAGGCUCAUCCUCGUAUAGCGGCUAUCUAUUUGGAUGCAGUGCAAUGUUGAUGGCAUGGCUUUAUGAGCACACAACAUUGUUCAGUCCUUCAGUUCUUGAUGCCAGUCCUCGUUUGUUUUAGUGGGGGAAUAUGGGGUAUCAUUGGAAGUUAAAGAGGGUCGAUUUGUUGAAGAAAGCUAGGGUUAUUGAGGGUUUAAACCCUACUAGCGAGGAGAUGGCCUUAGUGGAUGUUCGAUUAGAAGGCUGUAUAAGUUAUAUUUUUUUUUUCCUUGCAGUGGAGUCCUUUAUGUGAGCUAAGUACACGAUAGUUAUUAACCUUUGGUGUUGAUAUGCAAUUUGUGGACUGAGGGGGCCAUGGUGUGGGUGAGGAAACUUUUUCUACUGGAAAGGAUCUUGAUCACAAGUGGCGUCGCCCUGGGCAAAAGGAAUUUUGCAGAUCUUGCAUGGAAUCCAUGGAAUAUUAAAUUCUAUGUACGGAGGCCAAAGAGUAUUCCUUGAUAAUGAAGCAGAAUGUGGAACAUUGCGAUGAAGUCAAUAGGCUUCGCAAAAUGAUAAGAAAUAAUGGGUUGGACCUUGAUGCAACACCGUUUAGUGAGGGGCAGGAAGGUUUGACAAACUAUGCACUAGACAAUGAUGAUUAUGGUGUAGAGUUGCCUGUUGGAGUUGCAUAUACUGCACCAUGGGGGUAGAGCAAUCUCUUGAAAUGACUAGCGUUGCAGCCCCAUCCUGCGAGAUUGUUAAUGGCUCGCCCUCCAUUGGUGAAACUUACAAACAAGGAGAGAGCAAAAGCAAAGUAGCACAGUGGUGUCGCCCUACCUAGCUUCUGGGCAGCAAGGGCAAGUAGCGAAGGAGUUUGCUAUUGUUGCAGGGUCCAAAAGAGAAGUGAAGGCGAAAGUGAAAUAAUAAAUGUUGGUGUUGUCUUGAGGUUAUUUGUAGGGUUGUUUUGGUUUGAUUUGACUUUCUUAUUAGUUUAUUUAUGGAAUAUUUGUUGUAGUCGAUGGAUGCACUAUCAUUGUGGAAUUCUUUUAAGAUGGACUUGGUCCCAAAUGAUGACCUUGAAGUUGUGAAAUGGUUCUUGAAUAACCACAAGAAAGGGCAAGUGCACAUGACUAUUUAGUAGAUUGUGUUUAUUUAAGUGAUUUGCUUUAAACUAGAAUUUGUUUCUAUUGUUAUUUUUUUCUUGUGUAAUGAGGUUGAUUAAUGGUUAA